GCCCCCGUGGUGUAAUGGAUAACAUAUUUGGCUUCGGACCAAAGGAUUGAGGGUUCGAGUCCUUCCGGGGGCA
RNAcentral lists this transfer RNA (73 nucleotides) under Candidatus Nealsonbacteria bacterium CG08_land_8_20_14_0_20_38_20. RNAcentral's name for it is "tRNA-Arg". It matches the Rfam family "tRNA". From Rfam's summary of the family: Transfer RNA (tRNA) molecules are approximately 80 nucleotides in length. Their secondary structure includes four short double-helical elements and three loops (D, anti-codon, and T loops). RNAcentral also lists the same sequence under 1 other name. Lineage: Bacteria; Candidatus Nealsoniibacteriota. The record is from RNAcentral.